RNAcentral lists this transfer RNA (69 nucleotides) under Palaemon annandalei. RNAcentral's name for it is "tRNA-His". It matches the Rfam family "tRNA". From Rfam's summary of the family: Transfer RNA (tRNA) molecules are approximately 80 nucleotides in length. Their secondary structure includes four short double-helical elements and three loops (D, anti-codon, and T loops). Further hydrogen bonds mediate the characteristic L-shaped molecular structure. tRNAs have two regions of fundamental functional importance: the anti-codon, which is responsible for specific mRNA codon recognition, and the 3' end, to which the tRNAs corresponding amino acid is attached (by aminoacyl-tRNA synthetases). tRNAs cope with the degeneracy of the genetic code in two manners: having more than one tRNA (with a specific anti-codon) for a particular amino acid; and 'wobble' base-pairing, i.e. permitting non-standard base-pairing at the 3rd anti-codon position. The record is from RNAcentral. Lineage: Eukaryota; Metazoa; Arthropoda; Malacostraca; Decapoda; Palaemonidae.
GCUUGGGCUUGAAUAGUUUAAUAAAAACGUUGGUUUGUGGGGCCGAAGAUAUAAAUUUUAUUUUAAGCA